CAACAACCAUGUGGCCACAAGCAUGACUUUAAGAACGGAACAGAAAUGAAGGAGAAAAAAAGAAAAGACUUGCCUAGACAAACAAAAGCUGAGGGAGUUCAUCACAACUAGAACUGCCUUACAAGAAAUGCUACAGGAAGCUCUUUGAGUUGAAAUGAAAGGAUGCGAAGUAGCAACAUGAACACAUGUGAAAGUAUAAAACUUACUGGUAAAGGAGGGGAAGAGACGCAGAAACACAUGCAGAGGUGACAGCUGUGUGAUGCUGGAGGCAGAGGCUCCUGGAGUGACUCAGAGGAAGACGAGGCACACCAAAGAUGUCCGGCUGACCCUGCAAGCUGGGAGGAGGCAGGAGAGAUUUCACGCAGAGUCUCAGAGGAGCAGAGCUCUGUCGACGCCUGGGUUCAGACUUCCAGCCUCCAGAACUUGAGCGAAUAUGUGUGUGCUGUGUGAAGCCCCCAGUCUGGGACACUCUGCUGCAGGGGCCCCGCAAAUGAAUACGGGGCGAGUCCCCUAACUCCUCACCUUGCAGGCGGACCGCCUGAGGCUCCAGAAGGGGCAGGGGCUCACCUGAGGUCCCAAGCAAGUGGGAGGCGGAGGCGAGACUUGAAUCACGGUCCCGCUGACUCGGAGGCCAGUGCUCACCUCACACUGUAACUCCUUCCCCGAGUGUGUGGCAGCCUGGGCUGGUGCCGCCGUGCUCCCAUCUGGACAGGGACUACGUCUGGCUCAACACCUGGGCAGCAGGUGCAAGCCGAGCCGCGGGGGGCUCGGGUGUAGGAUGCUCCAGAAACCAAGGUGGGAAAAAGUGCAUGUG
RNAcentral lists this long non-coding RNA (814 nucleotides) under Equus caballus (horse). RNAcentral's name for it is "lncRNA (ENSECAG00000050640.1)". Lineage: Eukaryota; Metazoa; Chordata; Mammalia; Perissodactyla; Equidae. The record is from RNAcentral.